AGAACCCCGCGGAAGCUGUGGCUCAUUUCUAAAGGUGCUGGCAAUAUCGAGGAAGACUUGUAUCCACAAAAUUCCAAAUGGAAAAGAGAGAAAAGAGAACAACAAACAGAUGUGUGAAAAAAAGACACGAAGUACAAAACGGAUGUAUUAAUGGUCAGAAUUUUGGAGAAAUGGUCAAGGUUAAAUAAUCAAGUCAUUAUUGUGAAUUUGGAUCUAAAUGACCUGGCAGAAACCAUGGAGAUGAUCUUGGAUUUAAAGAGGAAAAACUCAAAGCAAUGUAUUCUGAUCAAGAAAUGGCAGGAAAUGGCAGCUACCUGAUAUGGAACAAUCAACAACUGAAGGUUUAUUUUGAAUGAGAGGUGUUGUCCAACUGCGAGACGGAGUGAUUGAAGCUGAGAAUAAAUGGAAA
Molecule: long non-coding RNA, 409 nt
Filed under: Homo sapiens (human)
Lineage: Eukaryota; Metazoa; Chordata; Mammalia; Primates; Hominidae
Description: HSALNT0030544
Source: RNAcentral